AUGCUCACUUCACAGCACGUAUACUAAAACUGGAACAAUACAGAGAAGAUUAGCAUUGGCCCUGCACAAGGAUUACAUGCAAAUUUGUGAAGCAUUCCAUAUUUUU
Molecule: small nuclear RNA, 106 nt
Organism: Antechinus flavipes (yellow-footed antechinus)
Lineage: Eukaryota; Metazoa; Chordata; Mammalia; Dasyuromorphia; Dasyuridae
Source: RefSeq, a predicted model, not a curated record